Molecule: ribosomal RNA, 138 nt
Filed under: uncultured eukaryote
Lineage: Eukaryota
Description: partial 18S ribosomal RNA
Rfam family: Eukaryotic small subunit ribosomal RNA
Source: RNAcentral
UGGUGGGUUGCCUUGUCAGGUUGAUUCCGGUAACGAACGAGACCUCAGCCUGCUAAAUAGUCCGUCCCACUUCGGUGGUUCGCCGACUUCUUAGAGGGACUAUCUGCGUCUAGCAGACGGAAGCAUGAGGCAAUAACA